CCCUGGGCUGGGAGUGCGCAGCGCCGCGGGAGCCAGGGCAGCUUCCACCUGUGGAUGAUGGGGACGGCAGCUUCUACUUCACUGGACCGCCAGGGGAAAUAAAUGCAGAGCCGGGGACAGCCUGGAGCUUGGCCAUAGCACUCCCAGGAAGACCUCCCAUCUCUCCAGUCAGAAAACAAUCACCUCCCAGUCUGGCAGGGUUCCCCUGGGUAUGAUUUGAUCUCACGUCCUCUG
Tupaia belangeri chinensis (Chinese tree shrew) is the source of this 234-nucleotide long non-coding RNA. RefSeq lists it as uncharacterized. NCBI's taxonomy places the organism in Eukaryota, Metazoa, Chordata, Mammalia, Scandentia, Tupaiidae. The transcript is spliced from 3 exons. The record is from RefSeq and is a predicted model, not a curated record.